RNAcentral lists this ribosomal RNA (486 nucleotides) under uncultured bacterium. Its description in RNAcentral is "partial 16S ribosomal RNA". It matches the Rfam family "Bacterial small subunit ribosomal RNA", at positions 28 to 507 of the family's 1533-position model. The record is from RNAcentral.
GAUGAACGCUGGCGGCGUGCCAAAUACAUGCAAGUCGAACGCUGGCAUCCUAGCUUGCGGGAUUGAAGGAGUUGCGAACGGGUGAGUAAUACAUAAGCAACCUAUCAACGAAGACUGGGAUAAUCUAUGGAAACGGGGACUAAUACCGGAAAGGUAAUCGGAAGGCCUCUUCUGCUUAUUAAAGGUUACAAACUCUGGUGGAUAGGCUUAUGGGCCAUUAGUUGGCGGGUGGGGUCACGGCCCAUCAAGACGAUGAUUCGUAGCCGGCCUGGGCGGGUGAAAGGCCACAUGGGAACUGGGACACGGCCCAGACGACUACGGGAGGCAGCAGUAGGGAACGUGAGGCAGUGGGGGAAACCCUGACCGAGCGACGCCGCGUGAGUGAUGGCGGUCUUCGGGUUGUAAAGCUCUGUUGUAAGGGAAGAACGGUAGAUAGAGAAUAUCUAAAUGACAGUACCUUAACAGAAAGCCACGGCUAACUACGUG